Molecule: long non-coding RNA, 1112 nt
Organism: Andrographis paniculata
Lineage: Eukaryota; Viridiplantae; Streptophyta; Magnoliopsida; Lamiales; Acanthaceae
Exons: 7
Source: RefSeq, a predicted model, not a curated record
GAGAAAUUUAGGGCACAUCAUUCCCCCUCAAUCGAUCAAUCGUAUUCUCUUUCUCCUUACGCCGACGCAACCAUCGCUGUGAAACUGGUAGGAUCAAGCAUCUACCGCGCCGGUGUCCAGGUAAGGUUGAUACGGAGCAUCCACCUUGGGGAGUAGCCUCGGGUACGGAGAUGAGAUGGGUUUGGUUUACUUUUAAUAACAACCAGUUUUCAACAUGGGAUCUCUUCAAAGUUCACAUGAUGGUCGGAUGAGUUGUGUGGGAUUAACUUCUGACUUGAUUGGGUUGUGGACAAGAAGUUGGGACACCAAUCUUAAGAUUUUGGCGUUUGGAGGGUACCGCAGAGUUAUCUGAAAGAGAAGAGAAGAGGGAGGAGGUGAGGUGAGGCAUAUAAAGGGUUGUAUAUUCCAGUCAAGUGAUGAAGGUUCUAACUAAUGAAAUUUCUCGUUUUCAAUCGCUAAGAAACAAAACGGUUGGAAUCUCUAAGGGCAUGUUGGCCCGAUCUUGAGUGGAAGGUAUAAACGUGAUCUUGCAUAGGUAGUAUAUGUCAAUGAAGUUCGGAAGAAAGUAACUAAGAAAUUGAUUCCAAUGAUUGAUUUAAAAGCAAUGGAUGAAAAAAUUUGCAGCUUCUUCAUUGACAUGGUUCUUGGAUACUUUUGCCGGGGAUUCAAUUAUACUUUACUCUCCUUCUGUUGGUAAUUGCAGCUCAUGCGCCACCCCUGAAGCAUAUCAACCGAUUCCUUAAUAUUUUGCCCCCAUUUGCCUUAUGGAUUAGAUGCCAUAGAUGUGUUUGGAUGGUAGGUUGUUACGGCUAUGUGUAAUACCUAUGCAAUAGAUGCAUAGACAUUUGGAGUUAUCUUUUGUGUGGUGAGAAUUGUUGCUAUGGAUUGAUGGAUUUCCCCACUUGCUUAUUACUAGGUUGGAUGUUUAAAAUGAUUGCAUUUUGUGGAACAUAAUAUCGAAGUGAAGAUGUUGCUAGGCUUGUUUGAUGGGUUACUUUAUUUUGUUGUUUGGCGGUGGACAUCGUCUAGUAAAUAUUGUUAUGUUAAUAUCCAAUGUCGGGAUUCCCUUAUAGUGUUUAUUGUUUGCAAUUAUGGCCAAUCGUAAUAUUUAU